This 253-nucleotide ribosomal RNA is filed under the name uncultured bacterium. Its description in RNAcentral is "partial 16S ribosomal RNA". It matches the Rfam family "Bacterial small subunit ribosomal RNA", at positions 524 to 776 of the family's 1533-position model. RNAcentral also lists the same sequence under 1 other name. The record is from RNAcentral.
UACGGAGGGUGCAAGCGUUAUCCGGAUUCACUGGGUUUAAAGGGUGCGUAGGCGGGUAGGUAAGUCAGUGGUGAAAUCUCCGAGCUUAACUUGGAAACUGCCGUUGAUACUAUCUAUCUUGAAUGCUGUGGAGGUUAGCGGAAUAUGUCAUGUAGCGGUGAAAUGCUUAGAUAUGACAUAGAACACCAAUUGCGAAGGCAGCUAGCUACACAGUUAUUGACGCUGAUGCACGAAAGCGUGGGGAUCAAACAGG